UGCAGUCAACGGUAACAGGUCUUCUGAUGCUGACGAGUGGCGGACGGAUGAGUAACGCGUACGAAUCUGUCUUUGAGUGGGGGACAACCCAGGGAAACUUGGGCUAAUACCGCAUAAACCCUGAGGGGGAAAGCGGGGGAUCUUCCGACCUCCCGCUGGAAGAGGAACCUACCUCUGAUUAACUAGUUGGUAGGGUAAAGGCCUACCAAGGCGACGAUCGAUAGCUGGUCGGACAGGACGACCAACCACACUGGGACUGACACACGGCCCACACUCCUACGGAAGGCAGCAGUGGGGAAUUUUUCUCAAUGGGGGCAACCCUGACUAACCAAUGCCGCGUGAAUGAAUAAGGCCUUCGGGUUGUAAAGUUCUUUCUUGGAGGACGAAAAGGUGGGUGCUAAUAUCGCCUGCUGUUGACGUGAAUCCAACAAAAAGCACCGGCUAACUCCGUGCCA
RNAcentral lists this ribosomal RNA (455 nucleotides) under uncultured Acidithiobacillus sp. RNAcentral's name for it is "bacterial SSU rRNA". It matches the Rfam family "Bacterial small subunit ribosomal RNA", at positions 56 to 510 of the family's 1533-position model. Lineage: Bacteria; Pseudomonadati; Pseudomonadota; Acidithiobacillia; Acidithiobacillales; Acidithiobacillaceae. The record is from RNAcentral.